This 504-nucleotide ribosomal RNA is filed under the name Triticum aestivum (bread wheat). RNAcentral describes it as "partial small subunit ribosomal RNA". Lineage: Eukaryota; Viridiplantae; Streptophyta; Magnoliopsida; Poales; Poaceae. The record is from RNAcentral.
AUGGAAUCUGGGCACUACUCCGCGGCCUCCGCUUACAGGGCACAGUUUUUGGGCUUGGUCCUCUCCCCCAUGGACCAAAUGGUUUGGAAGGCUUGGGCCCCGCCGAAAGUCAAGUUUUUUGCUUGGCUCGCGCUUCAGGAUAGGCUCUGGCCUGCGGACAGAUUGGAGAAGCGAGGAUGGCCUAACUGUGGCCCUUGCCCCUUGUGCCGACGGGUGCAGGAAUGUGGCCCUCAUCUUUUCUUCAGAUGCCGCUUCACUCUCAGGCUUUGGAAUCUGGUUAUUCAGAAAUUUCGCAUCCACGACAUGGACACGUCUGCAUGGCACAUGUUUGAUUCCGUUCAGGCCUGGUGGGCGAGCACGUGCACCGCCGCCACCACCGACAGAAAAGCAAAAGCAUCGAUUACCAUGCUAGUGUCAUGGGCCAUCUGGAACGAGCGCAACGCAAGAGUGUUCAGGCAAAAGAGCGCGCCUCCGCAAAAUCUUGCUCAACAUCAUUGUCGAUGA